Molecule: ribosomal RNA, 236 nt
Filed under: uncultured bacterium
Lineage: Bacteria
Description: partial 16S ribosomal RNA
Rfam family: Bacterial small subunit ribosomal RNA
Source: RNAcentral
GAUCCUGGCUCAGGAUGAACGCUGGCGGCGUGCUUAACACAUGCAAGUCGAGCGAAGCACUUAGGAAAGAUUCUUCGGAUGAUUUCCUAUUUGACUGAGCGGCGGACGGGUGAGUAACGCGUGGGUAACCUGCCUCAUACAGGGGGAUAACAGUUAGAAAUGACUGCUAAUACCGCAUAAGACCACAGCACUGCAUGGUGCAGGGGUAAAAACCCCGGUGGUAUGAGAUGGACCCG